This is a non-coding RNA of Callorhinus ursinus (northern fur seal), 862 nucleotides long. The record is from RefSeq and is a predicted model, not a curated record. Lineage: Eukaryota; Metazoa; Chordata; Mammalia; Carnivora; Otariidae.
GGUGGCCUAUAGGGCCCAGAGGAAACCAGGUAGGUUUCCUGCCCUGGAGCAUGAGCUCAGGCAGUGGCGGAGCCUGGUGGUCCUGCUGUCCUCCGCAGGCCUAACCUCAGUCAGGGCUCCAGGGCCUUCCCGUCUACCCUCUGAGCACCUUCUCUGUGCCAGCACCGCUGCACACAGUGUUCCCUUUAUUCUUCACAGCCACUUGCAAGAUUCAACGUUCUGCCUCUUACCUGAACUGCAAUGACCUGUUGUGAGAAGCCCAAACCAUGUGGGGGAGCCCUGGAGGAUAUGACAUCAUUUGCAGAGAGGUCAAGAAGUGCUAAGGCCUUGUCAUCAACCCCGCUUCUAAGAAUAGACCCCAUGGAUGCACUGGUAAAAAAAAAAAAAAAAGCCAAAUGAUACAUGCACGAGGCUAUUCAUCGUAACUCUAUUGUAAUAGCCAAAGAUUGGAAAUAGGCACGUGUCCAUCAGAAGGGACUGGUUGGCUAAGCCACACAAUGGAGGACCCUGAGGCCGCAAAGGAACAAGAUCACAACAUACCAUCGCAGAGAGAUCACCCGGGUGGCUUCUUCUGCAAAAGACCCUGCGGGCAAAGCAUCCUGUGAUGGGAACCAAAACUACCAACCCCUGAAGCAAUAAGGACUGCCCUGAUGCCUGCAAGCCUCCCGUGACUGACGCCAAGACAAUGAUUGACCUGACCUUUACUGCCCACCUGCACGUACCCACUGACGUUUGCCCCACAUUUUCCUUAUAUAAACCUACAGAUAUUCUCAGCACUUUGGAGAUGGUCUUUGAGAUGCUAGUCCGUGGUCUUCAAGGUGUUGGCUGCACUGAAAUAAAUUCCUUUCUGGUUUCACCACCA